Molecule: non-coding RNA, 44 nt
Organism: Schistosoma haematobium
Lineage: Eukaryota; Metazoa; Platyhelminthes; Trematoda; Strigeidida; Schistosomatidae
Source: Rfam
AUCAGCUGACGAAUCCUAAAUAGGACGAAAUACCCAUCCUGUAU